This 387-nucleotide ribosomal RNA is filed under the name uncultured euryarchaeote. RNAcentral describes it as "bacterial SSU rRNA". It matches the Rfam family "Archaeal small subunit ribosomal RNA", at positions 339 to 727 of the family's 1478-position model. Lineage: Archaea; Methanobacteriati; Methanobacteriota. The record is from RNAcentral.
GCGCGAAACCUUUUCAAUGCACGCAAGUGUGAGAAGGGAAUUCCAAGUGCUCAAGUUUAACUUGGGCUUUUGUCAAGUGUAAAAAGCUUGGCGAAUAAGGGGUGGGAAAGACUGGUGCCAGCCGCCGCGGUAACACCAGCGCCUCGAGUGGGGAUCGCGAUUAUUGGGUCUAAAGCGUCCGUAGCAGGCUUUGUAAAUGCUUUGUGAAAUUGUCUGGCAUAACCAGACAGCGUGCAGAGUAGACUGCAGAACUUGAGACCGGGAGAGGUUAGCAGUAUUCCUUGGGUACCGGUAAAAUGGGUUAAUCCAAGGAGGACUACCAAUGGCGAAGGCAGCUAACCAGAACGGUUCUGACUGUGAGGGACGAAAGCUAGGGGAGCAAAACGG